ACAGCAGUCGCCGCGGGAAUACGUAGGGUGCAAGCGUUAAUCGGAAUUACUGGGCGUAAAGCGUGCGCAGGCGGUUAUAUAAGACAGAUGUGAAAUCCCCGGGCUCAACCUGGGAACUGCAUUUGUGACUGUAUAGCUAGAGUACGGCAGAGGGGGAUGGAAUUCCGCGUGUAGCAGUGAAAUGCGUAGAUAUGCGGAGGAACACCGAUGGCGAAGGCAAUCCCCUGGGCCUGUACUGACGCUCAUGCACGAAAGCGUGGGGAGCAAACAGGAUUAGAGACCCCUGUAGUCCCUGUCUCUUAUAC
Molecule: ribosomal RNA, 305 nt
Filed under: uncultured bacterium
Lineage: Bacteria
Description: partial 16S ribosomal RNA
Rfam family: Bacterial small subunit ribosomal RNA
Source: RNAcentral